This 72-nucleotide antisense RNA is filed under the name Streptomyces eurocidicus. RNAcentral describes it as "ASpks sRNA". It matches the Rfam family "ASpks TB sRNA". The record is from RNAcentral. Lineage: Bacteria; Bacillati; Actinomycetota; Actinomycetes; Kitasatosporales; Streptomycetaceae.
CUUCAGCGAGCCGAGCCACAACGGGUCACCCGCACGCUCCCGCCCGUACGUCGCCAGCAACGCACCCGCCUC